AAUCAACGCUGGCGGCGUGCCUCAGACAUGCAAGUCGAACGAUUAAAGCUCCCUUCGGGGAGUGCAUAGAGUGGCGCACGGGUGAGUAACACGUAAGUAAUCUACCUUCGAGUGGGGAAUAACGUCCGGAAACGGACGCUAAUACCGCAUAAUGCAGCGGCAUCGCAAGAUGACAGUUGUUAAAGAUUUAUCGCUUGAAGAGGAGCUUGCGGCAGAUUAGCUAGUUGGUAAGGUAAUGGCUUACCAAGGCUACGAUCUGUAACCGGUCUUAGAGGACGGUCGGUCACACUGACACUGAAUAACGGGUCAGACUCCUACGGGAGGCAGCAGUCGGGAAUUUUGGGCAAUGGGCGAAAGCCUGACCCAGCAACGCCGCGUGAAGGAUGAAGUAUUUCGGUAUGUAAACUUCGAAAGAAUGGGAAGAAUCAAUGACGGUACCAUUUAUAAGGUCCGGCUAACUACGUGCCAGCCGCCGCCGUAA
RNAcentral lists this ribosomal RNA (481 nucleotides) under uncultured bacterium. RNAcentral's name for it is "partial 16S ribosomal RNA". It matches the Rfam family "Bacterial small subunit ribosomal RNA", at positions 32 to 523 of the family's 1533-position model. The record is from RNAcentral.